Small nucleolar RNA from Apodemus sylvaticus (European woodmouse), 148 nucleotides. RefSeq annotates it as small nucleolar RNA SNORA28. The record is from RefSeq and is a predicted model, not a curated record. Lineage: Eukaryota; Metazoa; Chordata; Mammalia; Rodentia; Muridae. The transcript has a single exon.
AAACCACAGUGUGAGGCACAGCGAGGCAAUCUGACUGUAAGCAUGCAUACAUUCUCUGACACAGUCUGAGCUUGCUAAAGCAAGAAAGUCUAACCUAUUCCAGUGUUCUCUUUCUCAUGAAACAAGCUGUCAUACAGGCGCCAGAAUA